RNAcentral lists this ribosomal RNA (693 nucleotides) under uncultured bacterium. Its description in RNAcentral is "bacterial SSU rRNA". It matches the Rfam family "Bacterial small subunit ribosomal RNA", at positions 28 to 767 of the family's 1533-position model. The record is from RNAcentral.
AACGAACGCUGGCGGCAGGCCUAACACAUGCAAGUCGAGCGAGGUAGCAAUGCCUAGCGGCGGACGGGUGAGUAACGCGUGGGAACGUACCCUUUGGUUCGGAAUAGCCCCGGGAAACUGGGAGUAAUACCGGAUACGGUCGAGAGACGAAAGAUUUAUCGCCGAAGGAUCGGCCCGCGUUGGAUUAGGUAGUUGGUGGGGUAAUGGCCUACCAAGCCGACGAUCCAUAGCUGGUUUGAGAGGAUGAUCAGCCACACUGGGACUGAGACACGGCCCAGACUCCUACGGGAGGCAGCAGUGGGGAAUCUUAGACAAUGGGCGCAAGCCUGAUCUAGCCAUGCCGCGUGAUCGAUGAAGGCCUUAGGGUUGUAAAGAUCUUUCAGUGGGGAAGAUAAUGACUGUACCCACAGAAGAAGCCCCGGCUAACUCCGUGCCAGCAGCCGCGGUAAUACGGAGGGGGCUAGCGUUGUUCGGAAUUACUGGGCGUAAAGCGCACGUAGGCGGACCUGAAAGUCAGAGGUGAAAUCCCGGGGCUCAACCCCGGAACGGCCUUUGAAACUCUGGGUCUUGAGGUCGAGAGAGGUGAGUGGAAUUCCGAGUGUAGAGGUGAAAUUCGUAGAUAUUCGGAGGAACACCAGUGGCGAAGGCGGCUCACUGGCUCGAUACUGACGCUGAGGUGCGAAAGCGUGGGGA